This 576-nucleotide ribosomal RNA is filed under the name Verrucaria sp. 5 SPS-2021. RNAcentral describes it as "SSU rRNA". It matches the Rfam family "Bacterial small subunit ribosomal RNA", at positions 352 to 987 of the family's 1533-position model. The record is from RNAcentral. Lineage: Eukaryota; Fungi; Ascomycota; Eurotiomycetes; Verrucariales; Verrucariaceae.
CAGUGAGGAAUAUUGGUCAAUAGCCUGACGGCUGAAUCAGCAACUUGGAAGAAUGUAUAACGAACAAUUCGUAUAAAAUUCUAGAUAGAAAACUGAUAAUGACAACUGUCUAUCUAUUAGUCUUGACCAAAUUACGUGCCAGCAGUCGCGGCAACACGCAGAAGACAAGUGUUAUUCAUCUUUAAUCGGUUUAAAGGGUACCUAGACGGGAAAUCAAGCCAUAGUAGGGACUAAUUUUCUAGAGUUUUAUGGAAGAAAGUCGAAUGUCUGGAGUAGAGAUAUAAUAUUGUGAUACUAGAUGGACGGACAACGGCGUAGGCAACUUUCUAUGUAAAAACUGACGUUGAGGGACGAAGCCCUGGGUAGCAAUAAGGAUUAGGUACCCCAGUAGUCCAGGGAGACAAUGAUGAGUGCCAUAGGCUAGAUAAAUUAGCCUAUAAAUGAAAGUGCAAGCAUUCCACCUCAAGACUAAAGCGGCAACGCCCAAAUUGAAAUCAUUAGACCGUUCCUGAAACCAGUAGUGAAGUAUGUUAUUUAAUUCGAUGAUCCGCGAAUAACCUUACCACGUUUUGAAUA